Molecule: ribosomal RNA, 257 nt
Filed under: Inocybe geophylla
Lineage: Eukaryota; Fungi; Basidiomycota; Agaricomycetes; Agaricales; Inocybaceae
Description: partial 28S ribosomal RNA
Rfam family: Eukaryotic large subunit ribosomal RNA
Source: RNAcentral
UUGACCUCAAAUCAGGUAGGACUACCCGCUGAACUUAAGCAUAUCAAUAAGCGGAGGAAAAGAAACUAACAAGGAUUCCCCUAGUAACUGCGAGUGAAGCGGGAAAAGCUCAAAUUUGAAAUCUGGCAGCUCUUUGAACUGUCCGAGUUGUAAUCUAGAGAAGUGUUACCUGUGCUGGACCGUGUACAGUCUCCUGGAAUGGAGCGUCACAGAGGGUGAGAAUCCCGUCUUUGACACGGACUGCCUGCACGUUAUGG